Molecule: transfer RNA, 66 nt
Filed under: Phrosinella nasuta
Lineage: Eukaryota; Metazoa; Arthropoda; Insecta; Diptera; Sarcophagidae
Description: tRNA-Ile
Source: RNAcentral
AAUGAAUUGCCUGAAAAAAAGGGUUAUCUUGAUAGGAUAAAUCAUGUAAUUUAAUUACAUUCAUUA